Venturia canescens is the source of this 850-nucleotide long non-coding RNA. RefSeq lists it as uncharacterized. The transcript is spliced from 3 exons. Lineage: Eukaryota; Metazoa; Arthropoda; Insecta; Hymenoptera; Ichneumonidae. The record is from RefSeq and is a predicted model, not a curated record.
CCUGCGGAUAAUACACACGUGAAUUGUUGCUUGAUACUGGACAAUACUUUCAUAGUUGUUUGGAGGUUUGCCAACGCCUCAUUUAUUGAAAUCGUGUUACAGAGCAGUUUGAACUUUGGUGAACGAAAGAUUUUUUCUCAUCAAAAUUUGUGAACAAUUCUCUAUGAAACAGUUUUCAGGAGAUUUUUUCGAAUUAUAAAUUAAAGUUGAUAUCGUAGGGAGAAAUGGUGUAAAGUACAGUGGAUGAGCAUCGAUGUUUUCAAUAUGAACAGCGGUCUCUACAUAACGAAACAAUUUGUGAAAAUUCUCUAGUGGCCGAAUAAACUAAAUUGCUAUUUCCUUCACCAUGAUUCAUCGUUUUUACUGGAGCGUACUUUCAACUCUCAGCUCGGAAGAUUAAAAGAGAAACAGGGUUUCAGAGCUUUUGUCACAAGGAUCGUCGUUCCCACGAGAAUCCAUAGAACUUUGCCGAGAACGUUGGUGGCAAGUGCUGAAUUCGUCAGUUACCUCGAAUCGUGGCAUCGCAUCAUAAAUUUAUAAGCUUCCAAUAGACUUUAUUCCUGAGCCAUGUUACUUUUAAACUGAUCCUGUAUUCUUCAAUAAAAAAAACUCAAAACUUUCAAUAACUCUACCCAAUUUAUUGAGAAAUUCAAGUUUAAUUAAACUUGGUAAAGUAUUUUUGACAUUGCUUUAGCAAAGGUCCGAAGUAUAUGAAUAUUAUUUAACGAAAAAGCACAUUCAAUGAAAUUCAUAAUUUGUAUAAAACGCCAAGUAAUAAAAACACUAGUGAACGAGGUUGUUGACGGUUCCUAUAACCUGUCCAAAAUUCAAAAUAGAAAGUACUGAAAAA